GACGAACGCUGGCGGCGUGCUUAACACAUGCAAGUCGAGCGGUAAGGCCCUUUCGGGGGUACACGAGCGGCGAACGGGUGAGUAACACGUGGGUGACCUGCCCUCAGCUCUGGGAUAAGCCUGGGAAACCGGGUCUAAUACUGGAUAUGACUCCAUGACGCAUGUUGUGGGGUGGAAAGCCUUGUGCGGCUGAGGAUGGGCCCGCGGCCUAUCAGCUUGUUGGUGGGGUGANGGCCUACCAAGGCGACGACGGGUAGCCGGCCUGAGAGGGCGACCGACCACACUGGGACUGAGACACGGCCCAGACUCCUACGGGAGGCAGCAGUGGGGAAUCUUGCGCAAUGGGCGAAAGCCUGACGCAGCGACGCCGCGUGAGGGAUGACGGCCU
Molecule: ribosomal RNA, 388 nt
Filed under: uncultured bacterium
Lineage: Bacteria
Description: bacterial SSU rRNA
Rfam family: Bacterial small subunit ribosomal RNA
Source: RNAcentral